GAUGAACGCUGGCGGCGUGCUUAACACAUGCAAGUCGAACGAUGAAGCCCAGCUUGCUGGGUGGAUUAGUGGCGAACGGGUGAGUAACACGUGAGUAACCUGCCCUUGACUCUGGGAUAAGCGCUGGAAACGGCGUCUAAUACCGGAUACGAGCUUCCACCGCAUGGUGAGUUGCUGGAAAGAAUUUCGGUCAAGGAUGGACUCGCGGCCUAUCAGGUAGUUGGUGAGGUAACGGCUCACCAAGCCGCCGACGGGUAGCCGGCCUGAGAGGGUGACCGGCCACACUGGGACUGAGACACGGCCCAGACUCCUACGGGAGGCAGCAGUGGGGAAUAUUGCACAAUGGGCGCAAGCCUGAUGCAGCAACGCCGCGUGAGGGACGAAGGCCUUCGGGUCGUAAACCUCUUUUAGCAGGGAAGAAGCGAAAGUGACGGUACCUGCAGAAAAAGCACCGGCUAACUACGUG
This 466-nucleotide ribosomal RNA is filed under the name uncultured bacterium. RNAcentral's name for it is "partial 16S ribosomal RNA". It matches the Rfam family "Bacterial small subunit ribosomal RNA", at positions 28 to 507 of the family's 1533-position model. The record is from RNAcentral.